Molecule: ribosomal RNA, 514 nt
Filed under: uncultured Desulfobacteraceae bacterium
Lineage: Bacteria; Pseudomonadati; Thermodesulfobacteriota; Desulfobacteria; Desulfobacterales; Desulfobacteraceae
Description: bacterial SSU rRNA
Rfam family: Bacterial small subunit ribosomal RNA
Source: RNAcentral
AGGCUGGAUCCUGGCUCAGGACGAACGCUGGCGGCGUGCCUACACAUGCAAGUCGAGCGAAGCUUGACGGGUAGCUUGCUACCGGUUAAGACUGAGCGGCGAACGGGUGAGUAACACGUGGGUGAUCUACCUGAAAGUCUGGGAUAACAGUUGGAAACGGCUGCUAAUACCGGAUGAACCCGGUGCUCAACUCAGUGAAUUAAUGCUUUAGUUUACUGAGUUGAGUUCCGGGCAAAGCGUUACGGAGCGCUUUCAGAUGAGCCCGCGUCCCAUUAGUUAGUUGGUAGGGUAACGGCCUACCAAGGCGACGAUGGGUAGCCGGUCUGAGAGGAUGGUCGGCCACACUGGAACUGAGACACGGUCCAGACUCCUACGGGAGGCAGCAGUGGGGAAUUUUGCGCAAUGGGGGCAACCCUGACGCAGCGACGCCGCGUGAGUGAAGAAGGCCUUCGGGUUGUAAAGCUCUGUUGAGGGGGAAGAUAGUGACGGUACCCUCUUAAGAAAGCCCCGGGUA